CUUUUCAUCUCCUCUCCACAGAACUGCAGCUCUGAAGAACUCAUCUCUCUUUCAAUCUAAAACCACUGAAAUCUACCAGUUUUUUAAUUUCUUAAACUCGCAAAUACAAGGGUGAACCCGUUGAGGAGAAGGUGAUGAGUUGAGUCGGUGCUGUGUAAGAAGAGUUAGAGUAACCAUUGAAGAGAAGGUGAUGGUGAUGAUAAGUUGCAGUUGAUGAAGAUUGAAGCUCGAGUUUGGUUCAAGCAGAAGGGUUUCUGUUUAAUGAAUCUGUAAAGGAGAUUGAGAGGAAUUAGGGUGGUACUGAUAAUGGAAGAACUACAAUUAGGGUUUGAGUUGAACUCAAGAAUUGAUGGUGGUGAUUCUGUUAUUUUGAAGAAUAAAUUUAGUUAAAUUAAAAAUUAGGGUUUCUUAUUCCCCAAUUCUUCAAUUGAAUUUGUUAUGAAUGCUUGAUGCAUUGUAGGUGAAAUCUGGUGGAGAAAUUGUGGUAGCAGAAUACCUAGAAGGAGUUCUGAGACAUUGAAGUUAAGGUUUGAUGCAGGGAAUGUAUGGAUUGUGGUACAGGCUUGUGAUAGAGGAUGGGUUUCUGUUGGUGGUGUUUGGGGUGCUGAGAAGAUGUUGGAUGAGAUGCUGUUGUGUGUAGGAGCUGAUUGUGCUAGAUGAGAACUGCUGGUGGUAUGUGAGGUUAGGAUGACGACAGGUUAUGGCAUUGCAGGUGAUGAUGAUGGAGUUUUUUGUGUUGAUUAACCAUUGAGCAUGGGCUAGCUAAGUCGUUCUCGGUGUUAAGGCACUUAUUUGGAAUCAUUGUCAAAAUUGGGUAUCCGAUGAGGUCGACAUAAAAUGGCUCAAUUCAUUACUUACAUACUUGAAAGAAUAUUUGAUAGGGGUCAUGAUGCAGGGAAUAAUAUGUCUCUGUAGAGUUUCUUUAUUUUAGGAUACAUUGCUGGUUUGUCUCUUAAGAAA
Long non-coding RNA from Papaver somniferum (opium poppy), 960 nucleotides. RefSeq lists it as uncharacterized. The record is from RefSeq and is a predicted model, not a curated record. The transcript is spliced from 3 exons. Lineage: Eukaryota; Viridiplantae; Streptophyta; Magnoliopsida; Ranunculales; Papaveraceae.